GGAUGUGAGGGUGAUCUGGCUGCAACAUCUGUAACUCCAUUGAUCACCAGGGUUGAUUCAGCUGAUCUGGCUGGCUAGGCAGGUGUCCCCUUCCUCCCUCACGGCUCCUUGUGCUUCCCUCCCGAAGCUGAGUGCUCCAUCGAAGAGGACCACACCUGACAGAGGAGGACCAGUUCCUCAGUCAAGGGUAGAGGAGUAGCUAUUGUUCCCUCCUAGAACCUCCAAACAGGCUCUCAAAAUGAAGCUUAAGUGGCUAUAUCUGCUAUUACUUGACCCUCUACUCCCUAAACCAUAUUACAGAG
This is a non-coding RNA of Fukomys damarensis (Damara mole-rat), 302 nucleotides long. The record is from Rfam. Lineage: Eukaryota; Metazoa; Chordata; Mammalia; Rodentia; Bathyergidae.